Molecule: ribosomal RNA, 468 nt
Filed under: uncultured bacterium
Lineage: Bacteria
Description: partial 16S ribosomal RNA
Rfam family: Bacterial small subunit ribosomal RNA
Source: RNAcentral
GAUGAACGCUGGCGGCGUGCUUAACACAUGCAAGUCGAACGGAAAGGCCCAAGCUUGCUUGGGUACUCGAGUGGCGAACGGGUGAGUAACACGUGGGUGAUCUGCCCUGCACUUCGGGAUAAGCCUGGGAAACUGGGUCUAAUACCGGAUAGGACGAUGGUUUGGAUGCCAUUGUGGAAAGUUUUUUCGGUGUGGGAUGAGCUCGCGGCCUAUCAGCUUGUUGGUGGGGUAAUGGCCUACCAAGGCGUCGACGGGUAGCCGGCCUGAGAGGGUGUACGGCCACAUUGGGACUGAGAUGCGGCCCAGACUCCUACGGGAGGCAGCAGUGGGGAAUAUUGCACAAUGGGCGCAAGCCUGAUGCAGCGACGCCGCGUGGGGGAUGACGGCCUUCGGGUUGUAAACUCCUUUCGCUAGGGACGAAGCGCUUUUGUGACGGUACCUGGAGAAGAAGCACCGGCUAACUACGUG